This 496-nucleotide ribosomal RNA is filed under the name uncultured bacterium. RNAcentral describes it as "partial 16S ribosomal RNA". It matches the Rfam family "Bacterial small subunit ribosomal RNA", at positions 28 to 507 of the family's 1533-position model. The record is from RNAcentral.
GAUGAACGCUGGCGGCGUGCCUAAUACAUGCAAGUCGAGCGAACAGACGAGGAGCUUGCUCCUCUGACGUUAGCGGCGGACGGGUGAGUAACACGUGGAUAACCUACCUAUAAGACUGGGAUAACUUCGGGAAACCGGAGCUAAUACCGGAUAAUAUAUUGAACCGCAUGGUUCAAUAGUGAAAGACGGUUUUGCUGUCACUUAUAGAUGGAUCCGCGCCGCAUUAGCUAGUUGGUAAGGUAACGGCUUACCAAGGCAACGAUGCGUAGCCGACCUGAGGGGGUGAUCGGCCACACUGGAACUGAGACACGGUCCAGACUCCUACGGGAGGCAGCAGUAGGGAAUCUUCCGCAAUGGGCGAAGCCUGACGGAGCAACGCCGCGUGAGUGAUGAAGGUCUUCGGAUCGUAAAACCCUGUUAUUAGGGAAGAACAAAUGUGUAAGUAACUAUGCACGUCUUGACGGUACCUAAUCAGAAAGCCACGGCUAACUACGUG